RNAcentral lists this ribosomal RNA (771 nucleotides) under uncultured Vagococcus sp. Its description in RNAcentral is "bacterial SSU rRNA". It matches the Rfam family "Bacterial small subunit ribosomal RNA", at positions 28 to 776 of the family's 1533-position model. Lineage: Bacteria; Bacillati; Bacillota; Bacilli; Lactobacillales; Enterococcaceae. The record is from RNAcentral.
GACGAACGCUGGCGGCGUGCCUAAUACAUGCAAGUCGAACGCACGAAGUUGAAGAGCUUGCUCUUUAACCAAGUGAGUGGCGGACGGGUGAGUAACACGUGGGUAACCUGCCCAUUAGAGGGGGAUAACAUUCGGAAACGGAUGCUAAUACCGCAUAGUUUCAGGGAUCGCAUGAUUCUUGAAGGAAAGGUGGCUUCGGCUACCACUAAUGGAUGGACCCGCGGCGUAUUAGCUAGUUGGUGAGGUAAUGGCUCACCAAGGCAAUGAUACGUAGCCGACCUGAGAGGGUGAUCGGCCACACUGGGACUGAGACACGGCCCAGACUCCUACGGGAGGCAGCAGUAGGGAAUCUUCCGCAAUGGACGAAAGUCUGACGGAGCAACGCUGCGUGAGUGAAGAAGGUUUUCGGAUCGUAAAACUCUGUUGUUAAAGAAGAACAAGGAUGAGAGUAACUGCUCAUCCCCUGACGGUAUUUAACCAGAAAGCCACGGCUAACUACGUGCCAGCAGCCGCGGUAAUACGUAGGUGGCAAGCGUUGUCCGGAUUUAUUGGGCGUAAAGCGAGCGCAGGCGGUUCUUUAAGUCUGAUGUGAAAGCCCCCGGCUCAACCGGGGAGGGUCAUUGGAAACUGGAGAACUUGAGUGCAGAAGAGGAGAGUGGAAUUCCACGUGUAGCGGUGAAAUGCGUAGAUAUGCGGAGGAACACCAGUGGCGAAGGCGACUCUCUGGUCUGUAACUGACGCUGAGGCUCGAAAGCGUGGGGAGCAAACAGG